CGGGUGCUAAUACCGCAUAGGAAGUUUGUUCGCAUGAACAAACUUAGAAAGAUGGCUCUGCUAUCACUUAUCGAUGGCCUUGCGGUGCAUAACUAGUUGGCGAGGUAACGGCUCACCAAGGUGAUGAUGCAUAGCCGACCUGAGAGGGUAAUCGGCCACAUUGGGACUGAGACACGGCCCAAACUCCUACGGAGGCAGCAGU
RNAcentral lists this ribosomal RNA (202 nucleotides) under uncultured Aerococcus sp. RNAcentral's name for it is "partial 16S ribosomal RNA". It matches the Rfam family "Bacterial small subunit ribosomal RNA", at positions 157 to 355 of the family's 1533-position model. Lineage: Bacteria; Bacillati; Bacillota; Bacilli; Lactobacillales; Aerococcaceae. The record is from RNAcentral.